RNAcentral lists this ribosomal RNA (468 nucleotides) under uncultured bacterium. Its description in RNAcentral is "partial 16S ribosomal RNA". It matches the Rfam family "Bacterial small subunit ribosomal RNA", at positions 28 to 507 of the family's 1533-position model. The record is from RNAcentral.
GACGAACGCUGGCGGCGUGCUUAACACAUGCAAGUCGAACGGAAAGGCCCUGCUUUUGUGGUGUGCUCGAGUGGCGAACGGGUGAGUAGUACUUCGGUAAUCAGCCCCCGACUUUUGUAUAAUUUCCCGAGACUGGGGCUACUACCACAUAGGAGUUCCUGCUGCUUGCUUGGCGUUGGGAAGUUUGGGCGGUUGGGGUGGGACUCGCGGCUUGUCCGCUUGUUGGGUGGGUGGUGGCUUACCCAGGCAUUGCCUGGUAGCGGGCCUGGGCAGGUGACCGGCGACACUGGGCAUGAGAUAAGGCCAAGACGCCUACGGGAGGCAGGAGUGGGGAAUGUUGGACAGAGGGCGGAAGCCUGAUGCAGCAAUGCCGCGUGCGGGAUGAUGGCCCUCGGGCGGUAAGCCGCAUUGGCCUGUGACGAAGCGUGGGUGACGGUAAUGGGUAAAGAAGCGCCGGCUAACUACGUG